CCUACGGGUGGCAGCAGUGGGGAAUAUUGGGCAAUGGAGGCAACUCUGACCCAGCAACGCCGCGUGAAUGAUGAAGGUCUUCGGAUUGUAAAGUUCUGUGAUGGGGGAUGAACACAAUGACGGUACCACAAUAGCAAGCCACGGCUAACUACGUGCCAGCAGCCGCGGUAAUACGUAGGGGGCAAGCGUUAUCCGGAUUUACUGGGUGUAAAGGGAGCAUAGACGGUGCAGCAAGUCUGAUGUGAAAGGUCGGGGCCCAACCCCGGGACUGCAUUGGACACUGUUGAACUGGAGUACAGGGGAGGGAAGCGGAAUGCCUAGUGUAGCGGUGAAAUGCGUAGAUAUUAGGAGGAACACCAGUGGCGAAGGCAGCUUACUGGACUGUAACUGACGUUGAGGCUCGAAAGCGUGGGGAGCAAACAGGAUUAGAUACCCUUGUAGUC
This 443-nucleotide ribosomal RNA is filed under the name uncultured bacterium. RNAcentral's name for it is "partial 16S ribosomal RNA". It matches the Rfam family "Bacterial small subunit ribosomal RNA", at positions 338 to 795 of the family's 1533-position model. The record is from RNAcentral.